GAGGUAAGCAAUGCAUCAUAUGGGGCACUCUCAGAUUAUCAGUUCUUGCGCCCAAGAGCUCGUGACAAGAGGCUUCACCAGGAAUGGGUUGUCCCGUUGAAAAGCAUCGAAGAUGUUCAGGAAAAAUUCAAGGAGUACU
This is a long non-coding RNA of Tarenaya hassleriana, 139 nucleotides long. RefSeq lists it as uncharacterized. NCBI's taxonomy places the organism in Eukaryota, Viridiplantae, Streptophyta, Magnoliopsida, Brassicales, Cleomaceae. The record is from RefSeq and is a predicted model, not a curated record. The transcript has 3 exons.